Molecule: long non-coding RNA, 364 nt
Filed under: Gallus gallus (chicken)
Lineage: Eukaryota; Metazoa; Chordata; Aves; Galliformes; Phasianidae
Source: RNAcentral
CCCGUGUAAACUUCUAUUGCAUUGGGACUUGAAGGCAGCAUGGUAAUAAUUCUGUCUGCUCUUUCAGCUACAUCUGCUGGGGAAUCUGUUACCUGAGCACCCAGGUCUUGAAAUUCCUUGCAAGCUUCUGGGAAAACAUCAUAUGCAAUAACUGGAUAUCCGUGUUUUAUCAGGUUUUUUGCCAUUGGAUUUCCCAUGUUACCAAGACCAAUGAAUCCAACGGGGGUUUUGGAAGCCAUUGCCCUAGAACACACCAUCGCCGCGCGAGCGGCACGCACCCGCCGGUGCCAGCGCCACCAGCCCGCCGGUCCCCCGAGCACCACAGCCGCGGCCAUGCUGCGCCCCGGCGCCGAGUGACCUCCGG